UGGCAGACUAGAGUACUGUAGAGGGGGGUAGAAUUUCAGGUGUAGCGGUGAAAUGCGUAGAGAUCUGAAGGAAUACCGGUGGCGAAGGCGGCCCCCUGGACAGAUACUGACACUCAGAUGCGAAAGCGUGGGGAGCAAACAGGAUUAGAUACCCUGGUAGUCCACGCCGUAAACGAUGUCUACUUGGAGGUUGUGGCCUUGAGCCGUGGCUUUCGGAGCUAACGCGUUAAGUAGACCGCCUGGGGAGUACGGUCGCAAGAUUAAAACUCAAAUGAAUUGACGGGGGCCC
Molecule: ribosomal RNA, 289 nt
Filed under: Vibrio parahaemolyticus
Lineage: Bacteria; Pseudomonadati; Pseudomonadota; Gammaproteobacteria; Vibrionales; Vibrionaceae
Description: partial 16S ribosomal RNA
Rfam family: Bacterial small subunit ribosomal RNA
Source: RNAcentral